AGCAGCCGCGGUAAUUCCAGCUCCAAUAGCGUAUAUUAAAGUUGUUGCAGUUAAAAAGCUCGUAGUUGAAUUUCGGGACUAAUAUGUCGGUCGUACUUUGUACGUACUAGCAUUAUUGGUUUCUCCCUUCUGACGAACCACGAUAUCAUUAAUUUGGUGUCGCGGGAAAUCAGGACUGUUACUUUGAAAAAUUAGAGUGUUUAAAGCAAGCUCGCGCUUGAAUACAUUAGCAUGGAAUAAUGAAAUAGGACGUUUGAUUCUAUUUUGUUGGUUUCUAGGAUCGACGUAAUGAUUAAUAGGGAUAGUUGGGGGCAUUAGUAUUCAAUUGUCAGAGGUGAAAUUCUUGGAUUUAUUGAAGACUAACUACUGCGAAGGCAUUUGCCAAGGAUGUUUUCAUUAAUCAAGAACGAAAGUUGGGGGAUCGAAGACGAUCAGAUACCGUCGUAGUCUUAACCAUAAACUAUGCCG
This 468-nucleotide unclassified non-coding RNA is filed under the name uncultured Entrophospora. Its description in RNAcentral is "SSU rRNA". It matches the Rfam family "Eukaryotic small subunit ribosomal RNA", at positions 569 to 1044 of the family's 1831-position model. Lineage: Eukaryota; Fungi; Glomeromycota; Glomeromycetes; Entrophosporales; Entrophosporaceae. The record is from RNAcentral.